Molecule: long non-coding RNA, 2675 nt
Organism: Aethalodelphis obliquidens (Pacific white-sided dolphin)
Lineage: Eukaryota; Metazoa; Chordata; Mammalia; Artiodactyla; Delphinidae
Exons: 5
Source: RefSeq, a predicted model, not a curated record
AGAUUUUAAACUAAUGAAGAUGAAGAAGGACGAGGAGGAGGAAGAAGAGAAACUAUUACAGAUUGGUCUUACCUCAUGGAUCCUGAUUCCAGAAGUAUCAGGAGCUCUUUCAAGAAAUUAGAUGAUCCAUCACCACUGCCUUCAUCCAAACAGACUAUUUAAGGCUUUGACUGCCAUCUGUCAAUCAGAUGCAGAUCCAGUUCUCUGGGCAGCCCCGUUUGGUGUUGGACUCAUCUCUGCGGGCUGGCUCUUCCUUUCUGACACACUCUGCUGCAGCCGCUCUGGCAACAUCUCUUUCCCUGGAGACAGGAAUCCUUCCAAGGUUUAAGAUUAAGAAACUGCGGCUAUAACCAGGCAACAGUUCAAGAUCCUGCCACUGGUUACUGGUGGAUCUAGAAGUCAAUCUCACAUGAAAUAUGGAUAAAGGGAGAGACCCAGAGGAAACUUUUUGAGCGAUGCUGGCCCCCACAAGAGAAAGUAAUGAAGACCAAAGAGGUAUGUCUGGAAGACUUGGGUUUCCUUGGUGAGGAUACAACCAAAGCAUUGUGACUACCAUCCAAGUUGUGUGCUGUGUUGCUGUGGGUGAAGCUAACCAGGAACUACUGAUCAGUGAAAUUGGUUGCAACUGGGUGGAAGAGCUGCCCUGCUGGGAACUCCAACAAACGGCAACAUCACUCAAAGAAUGCAAGAUCCUGCUGUGAAACAAUACAAAGUGGCCUGCACUUGAAUGCCUGGCUCAGGUGAGAAGUCAUUUUAGGAGACUUGUGAAACUUCUGAAUUAUACUGGGUCCAUCCAUGGCUUUGCAGUUUAACAAGACUCAAGUUUGGAAGGUGUGUGGUCUGAACUGGCCUUUGCCAAAAUGUUCCAUGAAAAUCCACUUUAUAAAAAACAACCAUCCCAUUUUUUUUAGUUCUCCUUUGACAAUUUCCCAAUUUUACACAUAUCUCGUAUCAUAAGCAAACUCUAAGACAAAGUAAAUAUCAUAUUUGUGUGCAACUGCCUAACCCUAAAAUCACAAAUUAACUCUGUGAUCUUUGGUAGAAAUUGGUAAAGCAUAAAGGAGUUUAUCCCCAGCUGGUUGUAACUUAUGGUGCACUGUAGCAAUUCUAAGUCCCUAGGAAGCCUUUACGAUUCAUUUUUACACACUGCAUUUUCAAAUCAAGGGAGCUAAAGACACAUUUUGGUGAAGAGGGUCAGGUGAUCUGUGAGUUCACUUACUGCAAACCAUGAAUUUUCACUUAUAAGAACUGAAAGCUUCUUACUUGUGACUGCUGAGUUAUGAAUUGUUACAAAAAGUUUCACGUUGCAAGAGUUUACUGAAGAACCUAUUUCAUUAAUCUACUGCUAAAUCUUGGCAACAUUUAACAACAUAUCAAAGUUCCCACUAACCACAUGAACUUUGGGAAUUCCAAAAUUUUUAGGAAGACAGUACAUUUUGAGGCUUUCAUGGUUUUAACUGCUGUUGUUUUUUAGUUAUAAAUUGCUAUUAGUUUAGCACCAUCAUUCUCAAUGUAGUUUCUAGCAGUUGUUUUGGUUAAUUCUACAAUAUAUAGUGAUAUAUAUUUAUGUCAACAUAUCCACUCUUUGGUCUCUUUCCAGUCAAAGGGAAUGUGUAUAUUUGAUGCUUUCUUUUCAUCUUUAGAUUGGGAAACUGAGGAUCUCAGGAGUUGUAACUUGCCAAAACAUAAUUUUUUUUUUUCAUUUCUAAGCCUUUUUCAUGAAAACAUUACUACGUAAUUACAACCAAAAUAAAGCAAACUAUUCUGACUGGCCAAAGUCAUAAUUUGGACUUUGGAAAAGUCAUGUACAAGAUUGAACAACUCAGCACUAAUAUCAUGAUUUUCUUCUUUUUUUGCCGUAAGUGAAAGCUAUUGUACAAUAGCUAGAAUAUUAAAAAAAAAAACUUUAUUAUCAACUCCUUACCAGUUAUUUCAAAUAUAUAUUUUAUCAAAUAAGCAGUUUCCAGUACAAUUUUCUAAUCAACUUAUUGCACCUGUUAAAACAUAAAUCACUGCUAUUUUAUUUACAUUUGCUGUUAUUUCAUAUGGUCUCCCUGUAAUUCUUCCUUGGCAUUAAAAAAAGAAAGAAAGAAAGAAAGAAACAAGAGAAAUUGAUAGAACAAUAAAUGGAAGGGAAAUGUUUAGUGCACCUAACCUAAAAAUUCUAUUUGAAAAUUUCAGAAUUUAAGUUGUUCUACUUAUUUAUUUAUUUUGGGGAUGUGGGUGGGUUUUCUUUCUUGCUUGCUUGCUUUAUAUGUCUUUUCCUGAGGAAAUACUAGUUGUAGAGUUUCUGAUGUAUUCCAAGUCAUGACAAUUUAUUCAGGCAACUUUGGUACAUUUGCUACAUAUGUAGUCUUUUGAUUGAUCUUAAGUGCCUACCAGCUCAAUCGCAGACCUCAAAACUGACUAAUCACUGAGCCACAGCAUCUAAUCCCACCAUUCACAAAAUGGGUACUUUGAAAAGGUGAUAUUAAAUUUUGUGCUUCUGUGAACACCCCUUAUUGCAGAAGAUAAGAUUUUAAAGUGAAAGAGCCAAUGACUGUCUUGAAAUCAGACAUGUCUUAGUUUAAACCUCAGAUCUGCCCAUGGAGCUGCCAUGCAAUCUAUUUUAACCUCAGUUAUUUCUUAGGUACAAGGGGAUAAGAUCUACACAGAAAUAUUCCUUUAAAAGUAUG